This 73-nucleotide transfer RNA is filed under the name Macaca mulatta (Rhesus monkey). Its description in RNAcentral is "tRNA-Lys (CTT) (tRNA-Lys-CTT-3-1)". It matches the Rfam family "tRNA". From Rfam's summary of the family: Transfer RNA (tRNA) molecules are approximately 80 nucleotides in length. Their secondary structure includes four short double-helical elements and three loops (D, anti-codon, and T loops). Lineage: Eukaryota; Metazoa; Chordata; Mammalia; Primates; Cercopithecidae. The record is from RNAcentral.
GCCCAGUUAGCUCAGUCAGUAGAGCAUGAGACUCUUAAUCUCAGGGUUGUGGGUUCAAGCCCCACAUUGGGUG